Molecule: transfer RNA, 72 nt
Filed under: Sphaerodactylus townsendi
Lineage: Eukaryota; Metazoa; Chordata; Lepidosauria; Squamata; Sphaerodactylidae
Description: tRNA-Ala
Rfam family: tRNA
About the family: Transfer RNA (tRNA) molecules are approximately 80 nucleotides in length. Their secondary structure includes four short double-helical elements and three loops (D, anti-codon, and T loops). Further hydrogen bonds mediate the characteristic L-shaped molecular structure. tRNAs have two regions of fundamental functional importance: the anti-codon, which is responsible for specific mRNA codon recognition, and the 3' end, to which the tRNAs corresponding amino acid is attached (by aminoacyl-tRNA synthetases). tRNAs cope with the degeneracy of the genetic code in two manners: having more than one tRNA (with a specific anti-codon) for a particular amino acid; and 'wobble' base-pairing, i.e. permitting non-standard base-pairing at the 3rd anti-codon position.
Source: RNAcentral
GGAACUGUGGCUUAGUGGAAGAGUCUCUGCUUUGCAUGCAGAAAGUUCCCGGUUCAAGACUUGGCAUCUCCA